UCAGGUAGGGAUACCCGCUGAACUUAAGCAUAUCAUA
RNAcentral lists this ribosomal RNA (37 nucleotides) under Aspergillus niger. Its description in RNAcentral is "partial 28S ribosomal RNA". Lineage: Eukaryota; Fungi; Ascomycota; Eurotiomycetes; Eurotiales; Aspergillaceae. The record is from RNAcentral.